Molecule: transfer RNA, 85 nt
Filed under: Felis catus (domestic cat)
Lineage: Eukaryota; Metazoa; Chordata; Mammalia; Carnivora; Felidae
Also listed under: 1 other name
Rfam family: tRNA
About the family: Transfer RNA (tRNA) molecules are approximately 80 nucleotides in length. Their secondary structure includes four short double-helical elements and three loops (D, anti-codon, and T loops).
Source: Rfam by way of RNAcentral
GCCUGGGUGGCUCAGUCGGUUGAGCGUCUGACUUCGGCUCAGGUCAUGAUCUCGCGGUUUGUGAGUUCGAGCCCCGCGUCGGGCU